RNAcentral lists this long non-coding RNA (6888 nucleotides) under Gossypium barbadense (sea-island cotton). RNAcentral's name for it is "long non-coding RNA (GBAR_LNC003763)". Lineage: Eukaryota; Viridiplantae; Streptophyta; Magnoliopsida; Malvales; Malvaceae. The record is from RNAcentral.
UUUAAUAUUAUUGAUUGUGAUAACCAUGAAUCAGGAGUCGGGAGACAUGCUUUAAAAAUUUUUGUAAUAAGGGGUGUUUUUGAACUGUGAUGAAGAAACUAUCAUUAUUGAGUCAGAUUCAGUUACUGCUAUUACAUGGCAAACUGAAUGUGCAGGAAAAGACCAUGUCACUUGAGAUGUAUGCGGUCUGUUUCCAGAAUCUUGUUGCAUGUUCUUUUAAUAAAUAACACUUAUCUCUGCCGAGCGGGAAAAAAAAAACAUAUUGGAUACCUAAAAAUAAAUAAUAAAAUAUUUAAUUGUCGGUGUAUUGAAACUCUUAAAAAAAAAUGACAACCAUGUAAUUACAAAACAAGAUUGAAUGUGGGUGAGAGUGAGAGUCUACCUCAAAUAUGGCCAAAGAAAGCAACCUAAAGAUUCAAACUGCACUUUUUUCUCUAUUUUUCUUCUACAAUCCACACUUCAAAUUAUUUUUACAAUUAGCAUUUUAAAUCAUUUAAUAAAUAUAAAUAUAUAUAUAAUAUUUUAAGUCGAUAUAACAGAAUAUCAAAUUAAUUAAAAAUUUUAUCUAGAUGACAUUUACAAUUAUAUUUAAUAAAUUUAACGAUUGGAUGUUAAAAUAUUUAUAAUACAAAAUAUUAUUAUAAAUGGAUUCGUUCCCUAUAAAUUAUUAUAUAAUAAAAAAUAAAAAUUUAAGACUUUAAUUUUGUAUAAUAAAAGGAUUAUAAAAACAUCUAAACCCUUAAUCAUGCCACUUAAUCUAUGACUGUAUAAAUAAAAAUAACACGUCAAAGAUUACAUUAACCAUCAAAUCUAACACUAUAAUCAACACUUCCAACAUUAAUGAUUCACAAUCAUAUUAGCUUACAAUGAGGGCUAUUUCUGCAUAUGUAGUUUUAAUACUUCUAUUAUCGUAAUUAAAAAGAUUCUGUAUUUAUAUGGCGCAGUAAUGAUAAGUUAUGUGAAUUUUUAUUUUCUAUAAUUUGUUAUUAUUUUUCAUGCUAGCUGAUACUUUUUCUUAUUUUAUUUCUGGUCAAAAAUUGAGGACAAUUCUUAAAAAAAUGCCAUCUUUUCUUUAAAAUUAUUGUAUUAGAUUGUUUUUUUUUUAAAUUACGGGAUUAGGCUGAAAUAAUAAAAUGCUUCUAGUUGGAAGCAUUUUUAACGGAUUUACAGGAAAGUCCUUAUAGUUGAAAGUGUUUUUAACAUAUUAGCAGAAAGACACUUUCAAGUAGAAACGUUUCCAUUUUUUCGACCUAAUCCCAUUAUUUUUAAAAAUAAAGUCUAAUCCAAUAUUUCUUUUAAACUGCAUUUUUAGAAAAUUUACUCCAAAUAUUGCUGGAUAUAUUGAACCCUUUUCAAGGGAAAAAUCUGAAAGGGUGCUUGAGGGCAUCUCAAAAUGGUCAGUGACCACCCAAAUGGCCUGUUAAGUAAUUCAACUUAAAAAACUGGGGCUUACGAAGCAUACUUUUUCUGCAUCCAAUUCAACCAAGAAGACCAAAAUCAUGCAAUUUCUCGGCUGUUUUACCUAAAAAAGCACUUUAAAAAAUAUAAUUACUGUAAUGGGCCAUUUAUUAAGUUAUUUAUCGGAUUAAGCCGUUUUCCACGAAAACGCGUCCAUAUCAGCGCGCUUUAGUGUCCACAUCAACAAAAUGUUUCUCUGGGGAACAUUUUGUCCAUGUUAGCAAAAAACGCGUCCUUGGGGGCGCGCUUUGCUGACGUGGGCAAAACGCUCCCCCAGGGAAGCGUUUUAGCCCGAGUAUAAAUUUUCAAAAAAUGUUAUUUUUUAAAUAUUAUAAAAAUAGACCAAUUUUUUUGAAAAUUUACAAGUAUAAAUCUUAAAAAAUGCUCAAAGUGAAAAUACCACUUUUUUUUAAAGUGUUACCAAUUAAUAUGGAAACAAAACUUAAAAAGCAAAUCUUUAUAUGGACUGAAAGUCUUAUUUCCCUUUCUUUUUUUUUAAGCAAUGUGGGAUAUGAGAUAUGUGUAUAUUUAGACUUAUGAAUAGGUUUGCAGCUUGUUCCUAAACAAUGUGAGAUUCCUUCCUCUUUUAACUAACAACAUAAAAUUAAAAGCUACACUAUAUUUUAUAUUUUUUUUACUUAGAAUUUAAUUUUUUUUACAAAAAGUUAACAUUUGUUACAUUAUAAAUAAAAAUUUUAAACUCUAUAAGUAAAAAAAUUAUCAAAUAUAAAAUGAGUAUGGUAAAAUAUUAAAAAUAAAUAUUUAAAAAAUUACUAAUAGUUGAGUGAUCAUUUUGUAAGUUUUUAUAAGUCUAUAGCUAAAAAAUCAAAGUUAAGUGACUACUAAUGUAAUUUAAUCUAGAUAUAAAAAUAUGAAAAAUAAUUAUUAUAUUUUAUGUAUAUUAUAUAUUUCUAUAAAAAAACUUAUUUAGCAUAAUUAUAUACUAUAUUUAAAUAAAUUAUCUAUCUAGUCAAAAUACAUCUUAAAUAAAAUUAUCAGCAUUCAUUAGGUGAUGAAAAUUAAAUUAAAAUUAGAAUUAAAAAAUUUAAUUAGUAUAAUAAAAUAUUAAAAAUAAGUAAAUAUUUAAAAAAGAUAUAUUAAUUUUUUUAAAUUACAUAAAACUACUAUUUGAGUGCCAAAUACUCACCAUUAUUUAUUAGUCAAACAUUCACAAUAUAAAAUAAAAAAUAAAAUUAAAAAAAUUAAAAGUAUAACUUCUAAAUUUAAAUAAUGGAAAAUUAUUUUAAAAAUUAGAAUUGCAUUGAUAUUAACUUCAAACAUUUAAAGUUGAAUAGAAGAUUAUUAUUGCAUGUACAAGCUCCAUAUGUGCAAUUUGUUCUCUUUUUUUAAUAGUUCUUUUGUAUAUGUUAACAAUUCUAAAAUGCAACAAGAUUAUAUCUCAAAAGUUAAUUUUAUAUUAUGAGAAAAUGUUAACAAAAUAUAAAAAAUAGAAAUUGUUUUGUAAAAAAAUAAUAAAAUAUAGUGUAGCAUUUAGUCUCAUGUUGUUAGUUAAAGGAGAAAGGAAUCCCACAUUGUUUAGUAACAAGCUGCAAACUUACUCAUGAGUCUAUAUAUACACAUAUCUCAUAUCCCACAUUGCUUAAGAAAAUAAGAGAAAUGAGACUUUGAGUCUAUAUAAAGAUUUGCUUUGUAAGUUUUAUUUCCAUAUUAAUUGGUAAAACCUUGAAAAAAAAUAGUGUUGUCACUUUAAGCUUUUUUAAGGUUUAUUCUUAUAAAUUUUUAAAAGAAUUGGUCUAUUUUUAUAAUAUUUAAAAAAUGACCUUUUUUGAAAAUUUAAACUCGGGCUAAAAUGUGUCCUUGGGGGAGCGUUUUUACCAUAUCAGCAAAGUGCGUCCACGAGGGCACGAAAUGUGGACAUGUUUUCGUAAAAAACUGCCUAAUCCGAUAAAUAAGUCAAUAAACGACUCAUUUUCAUAAUUAUAUUUUUUAAAGGGCCUUUUUGGUAAAACGGCCCAACUUCUCAGUCAAACCCAACAAAAUAGGACCCAUAGGAAAAUAAAUUUAUAGUUGUUAAUUGAUAAAAAAAAAUUCGAGAUUCAAUCAAACACUUUCUAUUAUCUCAUUUCUCAUUCUGAAGGUUAUGAGAUUUUUAUUUUUAUUUUAUAAAAUAAAUGAUGAAUUUUGUUUAAAUUUAUUUUUAUUUUUAUUUAUCACGUGCGAAUUCAUAUUUAAAUUUAUUUUAAUUUAAAUUAAAUUUAAUCUAUACUUUAUAAUACUUAUAUAAUAAAUUUAAAAUAAUGAAUUUAAGCAUACUUAAACACAUAAUGUCCUUUAAUAUAAAACUUUAACAAUAUAUAAAUAAUUUAAGCAUUGGAUAAAAAUAAAAAAAUAGUAUAAUAUACUUUAUAACCACUCAACUUUUAGUAUAUUUUGUUUUUCAUUACUAAUCAAAAUAAAUAAUAUUUUCAUCUGUUUUUAAAUAAUUUAAUUUUGAAAUUAAUUCUAUCUAAUUUUAAAAUCAAUAUUUACACUAUCAUAAAUGGAUGCAGUGACUAUUUUUAUAAUCGGUAGGUUUUUAAUAUUAUAAAUUUUCUUAUCUUUUUAUACACAUACAUGCACAAAAGUACAAUAAUAUCACAUACUAGUUUUCGAGUAAGUCAAAUUCUAGUACCAGCUUGUGAUAUAUAUAUAAGUUGAGAAUUUAAUAUAUAUAUAUAUAUAUAUAUUCUAAUUUAACUAAUUUUAGUUCUAAUAUUUUUUAAAAUUUGAAAUUAUAAUCAUAACCUAGUUAAAUUUAUUACAUCAAAUUUUGUUAUUAUUAUCAUAAGUUUUGAAUUUAGUUCUUAUUUUCCAAUUUGAUUAUUUUUAGUCAAUAUAUUUUUAAAAUACUUGUCCUUACUAAAAUAAUAGUUGUUAAAUCACUUAGCUAAGAUAACAUAAAUUUUCUGUAAAUAUUAUAUAAAAACAGUGAGUUAACUUGGAACUACAGACACGAGAUGAUAUAUUUGUUGCAUAAUAUUUUUAAAAUAACAGAAUUCAACUUAAUAAAUUUAACAACUACUUUUUGGGUCAAGAUUGAAAUUUAAAAAUUUUAAAAAUAAAUAAAAUAAAAAUGAUCAAACUAAAGUAGAAUGAUUGAAUCCACAACUUAUGCAUAAUACAAAGACUAAUAGUAAAAUUUGAUAUUUGAAUAUAUUAUAUAUUAAUUAUGCUAUAUUUAUUAUUUUAUUUAGUUUUAUCAUUAUUUUAAAAAAAUUAUAUUAUAUAUUAGUUAUUAAAUACUAUGGCAUGAGUAUACAACUAAUAAAAGUAUAUAUAAGGACAUAUAAAAGUAAGGAAUAAUUACAAUAUCAAAAUAAUUUCAACAUUUAUGAAGGAUGAGGUUGAUAGUUACAUUAAAAUUAAAAUAAGGAUUAUGAUAAAAAUAUUAAAACAUUACUCAACAUUUAUGGGAGUGGAGAUUCAAAUUUAGACUUCUCAAUCAAAGUUAUUCUUUUUGUGCACUCCUUAAUACUAAAAAGUUCAGUAAUUAAAAAUUUACAGGAACAGCUCCUUAAAAAUGAAUUAUGUGAAAAAAAAAAUUAAACAUACAUAUUUUAUAAAAAAUUAAAAUAUAUUCGUACAUUUAAAAUUUAGUCUUUAUAUUUUAAUUUUUAAGAAUUUAAUCUCUCCACUAUUUUAAAUCCAACUAACAUUGUUAAAAUUAUUUUAUUAACUUUAAGUUAUUUACAAUGUCAUUUUUUAAUUACGUGACUACUAAGUAAGUAUAUUUUUUUAUUUCAAAUUGUCAUUCCAGUAAAUUUAAUAAAAAAUAUUUAACACAAUUAGACCAAAAUUUUGAAAUCUAAAAAGAGGACUAAAUUAUUGAAAAUAUAAAUAUAAAGACUAAAUUCUUAAUUUAUGAGAAGUAUAGGAGGUUAUGGUAUAUUUUAACCUUUAAAAAAUAAUAGUUUUAUUUUUCAAUAUGGUCGAAUAGAAAACCAGCAUUUAGCUUUAAUAUAUUCCACCUAAUAUGUUUUUCCUUUUAAAAUUUUAAUUCAUUUUAUUCUUCCUGCUUAAUUUUCCUUCUUCUUCUUCCCUGGUUUUUGUGUUGCUUCUCCUUCUACUUCUUUCUGGGUCCCCAAAAUCCUGUGUCAACAGUUUAACACAGAGCUCAAAGACCCAAAAACAACUUCCGCCAGCACUUUUGCUCUUUUAAAAGAGUAUAUCGACGUCCAUAAAUUAACCUCUUCAUUUCGUCAAAUUUUUGCAGGAGUUGAACCACUAUAUUCAUAUAAUAUCAUUUCUACCUAGGGGAAUAAAGCAUAUCAUAAUUGAUGACAUUAUCUAAUUUCACAACUCUAAACUAUUGCAACCAAAAAAAAAAGGAACAGAAGAUUAUCCGUUCCUUCUCUUCAAAAUUUAAGAAUCGGCAGAAACCCAAUUUGAUAGAGAAAUAAGUGGAUAAAAAUCUCAGUUUUUAUUUUUAAAUUGUUUUUAAUCAGAUCAGAGUUCCUCUCUCUGCUCCAAGACUAAAUCCAAUUCCAAUUCCAUCUAAAGAGUAGAACAAAAUUAUUCAGUUUACAUACCCCCCCCCAAAAAAAAAAAAACCACUAAAUAUAUACAUCUAUAUAAUAUAAAGCAGAUUCAAUCAUUACAAACUAAUUCAACAGAAUAAACCUCAAAUAUCAUAGCUGGAAAAAAAAUUCAACAAAAAGAAACGAAUGCAAAAAUGAUACGCAUGUGAUCAGAGGAAAUGGAAGAGCAGACGUACCUUUCAUCGAAUAACACCGCUCCUAGGAUCAUCACCAUAUCUCUUUUAUUUUUGUUUCCGAGAUCAUAUAAGUUGCUGUUUUGUGUCGUCAAUCAGCGUUUUCUUUCCUUUUUUUUUUUUUUUGAUUUGUUUGUUCAUUGUGCGUUUCAGUUCGGGUGGGAUGGAGUUUUGGAAUUCACAUUUUACAUUUAAGAGAAAUUAUCCAUCUAUUAUGUCCAGAUUCUUGAAGCAGUUCUUUUGAAGAAUAACAUUCAAAUAUUUUAAAAAAGAAACGAAACAGGUGAAGUUAUCCAUCUAUUAUCAUAUUCCUUAAGCAGUUUCCUUUACAUGUUGAUUUUGGCUGCAGUGGUUACAGAGAAUGAUUUCAGCUUCAAAGUUUGUUAACGGUGGAAGUUUAUUUGAAGAAGAAGAGAAGAAAAAAAACGGAGAAGAAGAAGGUGGAGAAUAUUAAAGCCAUUUCGCAUGUCCAGGCAGUGGCGGAACUCUGAAGUUUAUAUCUAUUUUAUAAAAUAAAAUUUCGGCCACACAUAUGUCAUAAAUCCAAAAAUGUUUAUGAAAAUUGAAAUCUUAUUAUAAAAUUAAAAUUUUUAAUUGUCAUGGUCCAAACCAAGGAACAAAAAUUGAAUGUUAUACAUUAAAUCGAAAACAUACAAAUAAGGGGUGAGUGAAAACAUAAUGAUAGUUUGACAAUUUAAAGAUAAAACCAAAGAAAUGGU